Molecule: long non-coding RNA, 1360 nt
Organism: Syngnathus typhle (broad-nosed pipefish)
Lineage: Eukaryota; Metazoa; Chordata; Actinopteri; Syngnathiformes; Syngnathidae
Exons: 2
Source: RefSeq, a predicted model, not a curated record
GGUACAGGACAGGACAAUUUUCCCAUGAUGCAUUGCUGGUUAGCCAAAGCAAAAACAACACACAGGAAUCCAAACAUGAAACGCUACACAGACUCAAUUGUGUUCCUCAGUAAUUGGUUUUGUAACAAUAAGCUUAACCAUUUUUAUUCAUCUAAAUUAGCGUUGCCUUGAGGUACGAGUGACCCGAGUUUUUCCAGAUGCAAGCUGCCAUCACCCUGAUUUUGUUUGCAUUGACUUGAUCAUGGGGGAGCUGGAGAUGAUCCUAGCUAAUGGGACCCUGGACCAGUUGCCAGCCAAUGGCUCCAAGAAGAUAUUCGCAGGUAAGAAGGCUUCGGAGUCUUUCAAAAUCCCAAAGCACAAAUGAUCAAAAACAAUGCAGACGUGAGAGCAAAUGUCCCAGCAUGCAUUGCGUUUCUCAAACAAGCCUCGCAGGACCUGGAGAAGCUGCAAAACAAGAACACCCAUUUCCUACGGUGUUGGCAGCACACACGGGGGGGAAAAAGAGGCCUCAGGCCAACAUGUGCGGGCAGGAAAGGGAAAUUGGGGUUGCCAGUUCCAUCCCCCAUCUGACAGGAUAUACCAAAACGUUUUGUUUUUUUAAUAAAAUUAAAUACACACUGGCUCGAUUUUAAUUUAGCACGAGCUAGGUGAUAAACCGCAUAGGCUACUAGUAAUGCUAAUUGUCAUCAGCUAUCAAAUACGCAGAGGUGCUUUGGGUUACGAGUGACUCCACCUACUCGUUUUUCCGGAAAAGAGGUGAGCCAUAUUUGCCAUGCGAGCCCGUGGGCAUUUUGACUUCAAAUCUAAUUGAUAGCAGAAGGUGUGAAAAUGAGCGUGAAGGUUUGUCCUGUGAUCGGCUGGCUACCGCUCCAGAAAGUAUUACUUUCAUAGAAUAGAAAAAAAGGAGUACUUUUUUUGGUUCUCUACUUCAAUAAACGUGAGUAAUCAGAUAAGAGCCCCUUAUACGCUUUGCCAUUUUUUUUCUCAAUUAGAAUAUAGUAAAAAAGUUGAUGUAUUUCACUUAUUCAAUUCAGAAAUGUUAAACUCAUUUAUUAUUUAGAUUUGAUUGAUCAUAAGCUAUACCUAUCAAAAUAAGUCAGCUUAAAAUUGUGAAAUAAUUCACUGUGUCUAGAGGGCCACUGCUGAAAUUCAACUGAAACAACAUAAAAUAUAACUUACCGAGAUGCACCAAAAUAAUAAAACAUCCUGAUAUCAAUUCAAACACGGAGGUGGUGUUUUCAGCCAAAUACUUUAGUAGAAACAAAUAAAAUGUCAACAUGUACAAGAGAUAAAUCUUUCGUGACAAAAGGAGAAGGCACAUUGAGAGGACACGUAAACAAUUUUGUCCGAGUGAGCUGCA